Ylistrum balloti is the source of this 750-nucleotide long non-coding RNA. RefSeq lists it as uncharacterized. Lineage: Eukaryota; Metazoa; Mollusca; Bivalvia; Pectinida; Pectinidae. The transcript has 2 exons. The record is from RefSeq and is a predicted model, not a curated record.
CUGCAGUAACUGGGAAUCUUUUCAAUUUUUUUCUUAUGUUACUUAUGAGACAGCCGGACUCCAGAUUUUUGAAUGAAGUGAUCAGUCGUUAAUGAGGCAAGAAGAUAAUCAGACUGUCAAGCAUGCUGGAGAUCCUGAUUCAAGGUCCAUAAAAAGCUUGUCAUUUAGUUUCUGCAUCAUUAACCGUGUGGCAGUUUGGCCUGGUGAAUGGAAAAUUUAUAGAAAUGACAAAAGUAUAAAGAUACAAUAUUUGAUGUAAUAAUCGCCCAUGUAAUGUAAAGUAAUACACUUCUGUUCGGACAUAAUGAGAUUGAAUAUAAACCAACCACCUGCAGUCAGUACCUGGUUCGAACCAACGACCCAGUGGUGGAGGGAUAUUGAUAAAGAUGGUCAGGCACCUGAACUACUUGACUACCGCAGUCUGUUCCAUCAUUCAAAAUAUUUCUGUACAUUUCUACUUUCAUGAUAAAAAAUUUCUUACCAGUCAAGUUACCUAAAUAACUUAAGGAAAUAAUUAAAUUUGUUAUUUUUGCAAUCAAGGAUUUCAGAAUUUCUGGAGUAUUGGGACACUGAUAGAGGCAGCCUCACAAGAUCUGGGUGUCUUUUUUAUUUUGUUUGAUACGGUAAAUCAUACAAUUUCACUACACAAAUACAUCAUAACACUGUAGCUCCAAGUCUUUUGACACAAUAAUUCAAAGGAUUAUGUAAUUCAAAUAUGAAUAUGAGAAUUUAAUAAAGUUUUACUGCAAA